AAAAAUCAUUGCACAUGAUACAAGAAAUUCAUUGGUUAAUUUCAUGAUUAUGAAAAUGCCCAGUGAAUUUCUCGGUAGAUGAACAAUUAUUCAUUU
RNAcentral lists this microRNA precursor (96 nucleotides) under Schmidtea mediterranea. RNAcentral's name for it is "microRNA sme-mir-2177 precursor". Lineage: Eukaryota; Metazoa; Platyhelminthes; Tricladida; Dugesiidae. The record is from miRBase by way of RNAcentral.